CACGUACUUCCUUCGUUCAAAAUUACUUGUCACAUAAAUAGAUGUAUCUAGAUGUAUUUUAGUACUAGAUAUAUCCAUUUUCGAGACAAGUAAUUCCGAACGGAGGGAGUAGCUG
Molecule: non-coding RNA, 115 nt
Organism: Triticum urartu
Lineage: Eukaryota; Viridiplantae; Streptophyta; Magnoliopsida; Poales; Poaceae
Source: Rfam